Molecule: ribosomal RNA, 497 nt
Filed under: uncultured bacterium
Lineage: Bacteria
Description: partial 16S ribosomal RNA
Rfam family: Bacterial small subunit ribosomal RNA
Source: RNAcentral
GACGAACGCUGGCGGCGUGCCUAAUACAUGCAAGUCGAGCGAACAGACGAGGAGCUUGCUCCUCUGACGUUAGCGGCGGACGGGUGAGUAACACGUGGAUAACCUACCUAUAAGACUGGGAUAACUUCGGGAAACCGGAGCUAAUACCGGAUAAUAUAUUGAACCGCAUGGUUCAAUAGUGAAAGGCGGUUUUGCUGUCACUUAUAGAUGGAUCCGCGCCGCAUUAGCUAGUUGGUAAGGUAACGGCUUACCAAGGCGACGAUGCGUAGCCGACCUGAGAGGGUGAUCGGCCACACUGGAACUGAGACACGGUCCAGACUCCUACGGGAGGCAGCAGUAGGGAAUCUUCCGCAAUGGGCGAAAGCCUGACGGAGCAACGCCGCGUGAGUGAUGAAGGUCUUCGGAUCGUAAAACUCUGUUAUUAGGGAAGAACAAAUGUGUAAGUAACUAUGCACGUCUUGACGGUACCUAAUCAGAAAGCCACGGCUAACUACGUG